AAUAUAAGCAAUUCAUCUCAAGGUGCAGUCCCCUAUAUCUCCUUUUUGUUUUAUCUCCUAAUUUAAGAAGAAUUCUGUAUGUGGGAAUAAGAUUUUUGUUUAUGCAUUCUGCAAUUCUAAUUUCCCCAAGUUUUCUACAAGAAAUUGUCAUCUUGUUGCAGCUUAAUGUGACAUGGAUGAUUAUGUUUGAGUUGUAGGUUUGCAAGGAUAUGUUGGAAA
This 219-nucleotide unclassified non-coding RNA is filed under the name Hevea brasiliensis (rubber tree). The record is from RNAcentral. Lineage: Eukaryota; Viridiplantae; Streptophyta; Magnoliopsida; Malpighiales; Euphorbiaceae.